UAGCCGUAAACGAUACUCGCUAGGUGUCGGCCACGGUGCGACCGUUGUCGGUGCCGUAGGGAAGCCGUGAAGCGAGCCACCUGGGAAGUACGGCCGCAAGGCUGAAACUUAAAGGAAUUGGCGGGGGAGCACAACAACGGGUGGAGCUUGCGGUUUAAUUGGAUUCAACGCCGGAAAUCUUACCGGGACCGACAGCAACAUGAAGGCCAAGCUGAAGACUUUGCUGGAUUAGCUGAGAGGAGGUGCAUGGCGUAGUCGUGU
RNAcentral lists this ribosomal RNA (261 nucleotides) under uncultured archaeon. RNAcentral describes it as "partial 16S ribosomal RNA". It matches the Rfam family "Archaeal small subunit ribosomal RNA", at positions 748 to 1009 of the family's 1478-position model. The record is from RNAcentral.